AACGAACGCUGGCGGCAUGCCUAACACAUGCAAGUCGAACGAUAACUUCGGGGUUAGUGGCGCACGGGUGCGUAACGCGUGGGAACCUGCCCUUAGGUUCGGAAUAACUCAGAGAAAUUUGAGCUAAUACCGGAUAAUGUCUUAGGACAAAAGAUUUAUCGCCGUUGGAUGGGGCCGGGUAAGAUUAGCUAGUUGGUGGGGUAAAGGCCUACCAAGGCGACGAUGCAUAGCUGGUCUGAGAGGAUGAUCAGCCACACUGGGACUGAGACACGGCCCAGACUCCUACGGGAGGCAGCAGUGGGGAAUAUUGGACAAUGGGCGAAAGCCUGAUCCAGCAAUGCCGCGUGAGUGAUGAAGGCCUUAGGGUUGUAAAGCUCUUUUACCCGGGAUGAUAAUGACAGUACCGGGAGAAUAAGCCCCGGCUAACUCCGUG
RNAcentral lists this ribosomal RNA (433 nucleotides) under uncultured bacterium. RNAcentral's name for it is "partial 16S ribosomal RNA". It matches the Rfam family "Bacterial small subunit ribosomal RNA", at positions 29 to 507 of the family's 1533-position model. The record is from RNAcentral.